This 8129-nucleotide long non-coding RNA is filed under the name Panax ginseng (ginseng). RNAcentral's name for it is "long non-coding RNA (PGIN_LNC000901)". Lineage: Eukaryota; Viridiplantae; Streptophyta; Magnoliopsida; Apiales; Araliaceae. The record is from RNAcentral.
UCUUUUUGAAUUAUGCAGGUAUGCCGCCUUGCUUGUUGUUUCAUUGGUUUGCUAUGUGGCAACAUUUUCCUUCGCCGGCCUUCUCUUUUAUUUGUUUACUCCAUCUGGACAUGAUUGCGGACUCAACACCUUUUUCAUUGUGAUGACCCUGAUUUUUGCAUUCCUUUUUGCUAUAGUUACGCUGCAUCCUGUUGUAAGUUCCGACCUUUCAUUUUCUCUUAGCUAAGCCAAUCAUUAUCUUUCAUUCUUACUCUUUGGUUGAGCCUUUUUACACAAAGUUUAGUUCAUUUAACAAGCUGCUUAUAUUGUUGAUCUCACUGGUUAAACCUCAAGGGGUGGGAGUAAUGGCAGAGGCCUUGAGGAAUGACCUCAAGAUUGCUAGUUCCAAUCCCCAUAUUUAGGUUGCCUAUAUAUAUAUAUAUAUGAGUGUGUGUGUGUGUGUGUGUGUGUGUGUGUGUAUUGAUCUCCUUGUUUCAACUGCCACAAAAUAGGUAAGUGGCAGCAUUUUGCCAGCCUCAGUUAUAUCUUUGUACUGCACAUACCUCUGCUAUAGUGGACUUGCUAGUGAACCAAGGGAAUAUGCUUGCAAUGGUCUUCACAAGCAUUCUAAAGCGGUCAGCACUGGCACACUCACUGUUGGGCUGCUUACAACUGUGUUAUCUGUUGUCUAUUCUGCUGUUCGUGCGGGGUCUUCUACAACUUUGCUCUCCCCCCCAAGUUCACCUCGAGCAGGUCAGUGUCUAAUUAUUGAUGAACGCAUUGUGCAUUUGGAAGUGCAUUUCGUCUUCAUGCUUUAUGAAGUAAAUGAGUUUUUGAAGUUUUCUUCUGGUAAAAAAAGUAUGCUGAUUCCAAGUGUUGAUUUCACAAAACCAUGUUUGGUAAAGACACGCUGAUUCCAAGUGUUGGUCAAGUUUGUUUAUUCUGAGAUAUUCAAUUGAUCUGAUUUGGUGUUUAGAGAUUUGCAUAUUCCUCAUCCUAUUGGUCAAUUGUUUGCUUUCUUUCAAAGAUGCCAACAUUUAUCACAACUGAUUCAACUUUUAUAUCAUAUGGUGGUGUUUUUGGCAAAAGGUGUUAUUAAAACACUGCUAGUGCAUUUACUCUUAUUGUCGCGAUUAACAGGAUUGGAUUAACCGACUACAGCUGAAAUCUAACAUCUUGAAUUUCCUGGUGAAGGUGCUGGGAAGCCUCUGCUUCCUCUGGACAAGGCAGAUGAGCAUGAAGAGGAAAAAAACGCCAAGCCGGUCACAUACUCGUAUUCCUUCUUCCAUAUUAUCUUCUCUCUUGCCAGCAUGUACUCGGCAAUGCUUCUCACUGGGUGGUCGACUUCAGUUGGGGAGAGUGGUAAGUUGGUGGAUGUGGGGUGGGCAUCAGUCUGGGUCAGAAUCUUGACUGGGUGGGCAACUGCAGGUCUGUUUAUUUGGUCAAUGGUUGCCCCUCAUCUGUUCCCGGACAGGGAGUUCUGAGCAUAGUAAGCUGAAGUUGAACACGUAAUUGAUAUUUCUGUGUAGAGGGUGGUAUGUUGUUCUGUUUAUAUUGACGUGUUAGAGAAUGAAAGCAUGUUUGUGGAAAUUGGAUACAUCUGAUGUUGUGGUAAUGUAACCCAGAACUGUUUCUGGAUAUCAUUUCAAUUUCUAAAUAAAUACAAUCUGGUUUGGUGUUUGUUUUUCAAAAUAAUUCCAUUCUCAUGCUUGGUGGUUAAUUUUUAAUUUUAGAACAGGAGUAUAUAAUAUUAAUAAAGUGAGUGCCUUUGAGCGACCUCUUGAUAGCAGUUAACAUAUGGCAGGCUUAAAAUAUAGUUUCAAAUUCAAGCAAAAAUUAAUAUUCAAGAUAACAAUCAAUAGCAAGCAAUCAUGCGUAUUCUUUCCAUCUGCUCCUCAAUCUCUCUAAACUAAAAAAAUGCAAAAUUAAAAAUCCAAUGGAUAAGAUCUGCCCAUUAAAUUUCUUGAGACAAUUGGGAACCAUCCUAACAGACGGAGGCAGAGGAGAGCAAUAGAUCUGAAUUUAUUAAAAUGUUGGCCAAAAGACAAGGUUGCUCACUUUCUACAAGAGUAUAGAUUCAAACUACCCUUCCUUUGUUUUGACCAUCAAGAAACGAAAUACUAGUACUACUCUCAUUACAAGGCAAUCAAAACAAGAACAGAACCAUUAAAAACAAGGCCAUGCUCAGCCUUCUGCUUUUAUAAAAUUAAACAUGAGUUAAUCAAAAUAUAGCAACUGGAUACUGUAUAAAUUGAACUUAAUUAAAACCACACACUAUUAAGUUAAUGUAAUUUUUUUGACAUGAUGUCAAAUGGAAAUGGCAAGGAAUUAUCACAGCUAUGAUGUACUGCACAAUACCAACCCAACUUUUUCUUAAAGCAAUUGAAUCACCAUCCACUAUAUCCAUAAAACCAUAUAAUAGAUGACUGCUGUUGAGUUUCUCAUGGCAUUGUGAGGCUUCCACAAAAACUCAGGGAGCAAUGAUGAUACGGCUAUGAGCAGCAACCUGAAAGUAAUUUAUUUUUUAAGAAAAUAAUGCCAAGAAGUUAAUCUUUUACCAAAAAAAGGUAUUAACCCAAAACAAAUGACAAGCACCUGCUAGUUACUUUUGGUGUACACUAGUUUCUUAUCCAAAGCCCUAGUAUUUUCCAUUACAAAAAUAGAGUAAAGUAAAUUUUAAAAAAAAAGAAGAGCAUAACUUAAAAAAAGAAACAAAGAUACACACACAAAAAGCAUCCUGGGACUUUGUCACGCAAACAAGCAGGAAAAAAAAUAUAGGCAAAAGAAUAUCACAACAAAAUAUGCAAGUAGGAAAUGCUUAAGAAGUUGGAAGUUGCCAAGACUCCCCCUCCUAUAUUCAAUGUUCAACAAGUAUGUGGUUGUGAGAAUAUUGACAUUAUCGACAUAUUAUUUUACGAACAACCCAGUAGUCCAUACUAAUACAUCUUAGGCAAUUAGACUUAAAUCAGUCCCACACCAAUUACUGAUACUUGUAUCAACAGUCACUAAUUCGCGAGGCACAUGAGCUCCGUUAUUAGCCUUGAUUUUGGAAUUUGGUGGUACUUAGAACGUCAGUACAAUAUUUUCCCACAAGAAAAACUAAUAACAUUGACAAUGAGAUUCUUGAAAAAUCACAAGUACCAUAAAAAAACACCUUAAAUAAUCAGUAAAAAAGGCUAAGAAGAAACACCCACCUUGAAUACAACUUUCCCACAAAGUAAAACUAAAACCUGUCCUUCAAAAAGAUAUUUAUAUAUAUAUAUAUAUAUAUAUAUAUAUAGGGAAACGAUCCGUGGACAACGUUAGCUGGGAACCCGUGGACAACUAACGCUCAUCCAGUCGUCCAAAAUUGGAGUUAAUGGCUGAGAUGAGCUCCCAGCUGCUAGAGGGAGUAGCGGCCAGCAAUAAUUUUAAAAUUCCUCUUUCCUGGCCGCUAGAGGGAGUAGCGGCCAGUCAAAACGUUGUCGUUUUGGCNNNNNNNNNNNNNNNNNNNNNNNNNNNNNNNNNNNNNNNNNNNNNNNNNNNNNNNNNNNNNNNNNNNNNNNNNNNNNNNNNNNNNNNNNNNNNNNNNNNNUAAGAAAUAAUGAAGGAAUGAACUUCUAUUUAUAGAAGAAUGGACUGAAUAGUAACCAAUCCAUGAACGGUCCAGAUCAAUUUACUUUAAACGAACGGUCCAAAUUGAUAUACAAUAAAAUAUAUUCUAUUCUAUUUAUAAUCUAAUAAAACGAAUAACUUUUAAAAAGAUUUUACUAUGCAGGCACUAUGCAAAUACUAUGCAUAAUAAAAUAUAAUAUAUUCUAAUUAUUGUCUAAUAAAACGAAUAAUUUUAUAAAAGUAUUCUGUUUUAUAUAAAAAGAUUUUACUAUUAGCCUAAUAAAACGAAUAACUUUAUAAAAGUAUUCUGUUUUAUAUAAAAAGCUUUUAUAUUUUAUUACACUAAUAAUACUAAUAAAAUAAAAUUUCAUCAUCAUUAUUAUUAUUCACACUAUUAAUCGACCAGGUCGUUCCCAGGAAAGAGGGGACUUUCUAAUAAGGAUUUCUUUCUAUUGGCGCGCAAUUAGGUGACCAAACCUCUCAUUGACAUAACUUAUAGACAUCGUUAAUAUUGCAAAUAAUAAUAUUAAUAACUCUGUUAUCUCAAUUAUUGAUUUAAUAAUAUAAAAAAAAUAUUGACAAUAAUUGAAUCAAAUAACGUGAGAUAUUAUGCAACAAUUACUGAAGCAAUAAUUGAAUAAGACUGAGUGAUUUCUCACGUAAGCAUCAAUAAUCAAUACAAUGUGCUACUAUGCAAUCACGCGUAUUCCUGUACUUUUAACACUGGGUGUUUCAACAGUUAACGGUAAAACUUCCGCCGUUAUUUUCAUAAAAUAUUUUUUUGUCAUUUUCUUAAUCUAACAAUAAUUCCGUUGUGGGGUCCACCAAUGAUUGUGCCGUCGUACGAAUAUUCUCUGUUAAAACGAAUAUUCCCCGACCAAUCGAAUAUUAUAUAACAACUUGCGUACUUUGCAAAAUUUAUAAAUAUUAUCCACAACUAUAACAUUAUAUCAAAUUCAUUCAAAAAUGAUAAUUAUAAAAAAUUCAUCUUUAUUCAUAAAAGUUGGGGUCUUACAGUCAAAUUGUAUAUAAGUUUUAAUAUUCUAUUUUAAAAUUCAUCAGAAAGAUAAAAGUAAAAAAAAAUCUUUAACGUAAAAAUAAUAUAAAAAACUAAUUAUUAAUAUUUUUAAAAAUUUUAUAAAAAAAAUCACUCACUAAGAAAGAUAAAUAAAAAGGAACGAUGGAGUAUAAUUUAUACCGACAAAGUUUGGAACCGGUUGAUGGGUCGGGUUUUAGUAACUCGCUGUCUCCGAAGUCCGAACAGUGACAUAAAGACAAAGUCAUGCUAUAUCACAGCCGGGUGUCCAUAGAAAAAGCACCGUCUCAUCAAAUAGAAUUCGUAGUCCAAGUCGUCAAGCUAUUCUUCUCCGUAUUCCGCUAUUGUAUACGCCUGAUCAUCGUCCCGCCGCUAGAAGGUACACAAUCAUUCGUCCAUAUUUCCAUUGAAUCAAUUUAAAACUUUUUAAAACCAGGUUCGAGAAUUAUUAUAAUAAUUUAUUAAUCAGAGCUUAUUCAUUCUUUAUUGAAGUAAUUAUCAUGUUGAUGAUCAGGUUUAAUUUUGUCAAUUUUAGGGUUUUUACGGUACAGGUUUUGGUGGUAAUUGAAUUAAUUUUUGAAUAGGAGAGAAGAUGUGGGCGGCUUCCUGCCUAGCAUCUUGUUGCGCUGGGUGCGCAUGCAGUGCCUGCCAGACCGUGGUAUCAGGGAUAAGCCGCCGAUCUGCUAGAAUUGCGUAUUGUGGUCUAUUCGCACUGUCACUGAUCGUUUCAUGGAUUCUUAGUGAGGUUGCUGCACCUCUUAUGGAGAAGAUCCCCUGUAAGAUGUUUUUUUUUCUUUCUUUGAAGUUGUCAAGAGAAUUGUGGUUUUUAUAAAUCAACUGUUUGAGGUUGCUGCACCUUUUUAAUAUCAGUUUUGGAACCUAUAAAAUGAAAAUUUGAAAGGGAUUGAGAAUGUUUCAUUAAAUACUACAUAAAUGUUAUUACUUUUUGUACAAUGUUAUUGUUAAUUCUGAUUGAUUGUAACUGGGACCCAAAUUGUACAUUUGGGUAGACGGUAGUGCAGGGAUAGUCUUGCUCAUGUUCAGUUUUGCCUGGUGAAUAGUGAUUGUAGUACAAGUCUUAGAUAGUUAAUGUAAAUUCCCACUGUUUCCCAUCAGUUCUAACAACUCAAAAGGCAUUAGGCAUAUGAUGCGUUCAACCAUGCAACUCUCAUGUUCUAAUGACCAGUUAACUUUUACUAGAUUGUGGCUUUAGCACAAAUAUGUUUUGACUGAAUUCCCUGAUUGAUGCUGUUGAAAUUGGGUUUAUUUAUUAAGUUGAUGAUGACGAUGAGAUGCAAUGAUCUUCCAAAUGAAAUUCAUACGGUCAUUUUGAAGUUCUGCAUGCGACUGAGUUAUUCAAAUUGGUUUAGCAGACGUGCUGAUUUCUUGUUGGAUACCAAUGCAGGGAUUAACCAUUUUCACAAAACUCCAAAUAGGGAGUGGUUUGAAACUGAUGCAGUGCUGCGAGUUAGUUUGGGAAACUUCCUAUUUUUCUCUGUUCUAUCUCUUCUUAUGGUUGGUGUAAAAAAUCAGAAGGAUCCUCGUGAUGGUUUGCACCAUGGUGGGUGGAUGAUGAAAGUUAUCUGCUGGUGUCUCCUAGUCAUCUUUAUGUUUUUCCUUCCAAAUGAGAUUAUCAGCUUCUAUGGUAAGGCAUUUUCUCCAUCAGUUCGUAAUCACACGAGGGUUUAUAUGAUUAUUUUUCCUUUCUAGUUUAAAGCAUUUCCUCGUGUAAAUCUUAUUUAUUUCAUUGGUUUACUGAAAACACCAAAAAAAAUUCUAAAUGAGAUACCAUUCAUUAUUCCAUCCGCUUAUAGGACUUGCAUCACGUAUAGUCCAUUGUAAACAUAUAAUUUUAAAGUCUCCUGUUCAGCAUCAUGGAAGAAUUUACUUAUCUGGAGCAAAAGUGAAAUGAGUUAACCUUACGAUAAAUGAUGUUAAUCAAGGAAGAGGCUUAUCCAAGUUAGCAGCGAAGACAUGUAGACAAUGAAACUGGGACAGAGUUGAUCUUAGAUCAAAUUUACCGCAAAUUAUAUUACACACCCGCGUGAUGGGCUGGGUUUUGUUUCGGUUGAUGGUAGAUUUAUUGCAAUUAUAUAUGUCUCAGCUGCAUGAGUAUUGUUUAAUGUGAGGUGAUUUUUGUCAGCAGCUAUGGAUCAGAAAGGUCUUUAAUUCUUACUUCUAAGAGUUUGGUAGGAUGCCAAGAUAAUAGAAGUGAGACCAGGCUUAAAUGUGAAGCUGUUUCUGAGUUUCAUUUCUUCAUCUCUUAGCAUUAGCCUUGUCUAGUGUAUAUAUUCACAUCAAAAGUUGUGCAGUGCUCGACACAACUUGACACGGUUAUCUUGUUGCAAAAUUCCGAUUGAAUAUCUUUUAUCACCCUUCUUUAUUUUCUUUUACUUUUAUGUUUUCAUGUGUAAAUUAAUCCUAAUGUUUGGUUUGCAAAUGCAGAAACGACAUCAAAAUUUGGUUCUGGCUUAUUCCUUCUUGUUCAAGUUGUGCUUUUGUUGGAUUUUGUGCAUGGUUGGAAUGACAAGUGGGUCGGAUAUGAUGAGCAGUUCUGGUCAGUUGCUUGUAUUGUUCCUCCAACUGUCAUUUUUCCAUUUUUUUUUGUUUUUUGUUUGCUAAAUUGCACUUUUGUGAUCUAUAGGCGCUAUCCUUGGCAUUUGAAUCUUUUGUAGUAAUAUCUUUUUGAAUUAUGCAGGUAUGCCGCCUUGCUUGUUGUUUCAUUGGUUUGCUAUGUGGCAACAUUUUCCUUCGCCGGCCUUCUCUUUUAUUUGUUUACUCCAUCUGGACAUGAUUGCGGACUCAACACCUUUUUCAUUGUGAUGACCCUGAUUUUUGCAUUCCUUUUUGCUAUAGUUACGCUGCAUCCUGCAGUAAGUUCCGACCUUUCAUUUUCUCUUAUUAGCUAAGCCAGUCAUUAUCUUUCAUUCUUACUCUUUGGUUGAGCCUUUUUACACAAAGUUUAGUUCAUUUAACAAGCUGCUUAUAUUGUUGAUCUCACUGUUUAAACCUCAAGGGGUGGGAGUAAUGGCAGAGGCCUUGAGGAAUGACCUCAAGAUUCCUAGUUCCAAUCCCCAUAUUUAGGUUGCCUAUAUAUAUAUAUAUGAGUGUGUGUGUGUAUUGAUCUCCUUGUUUCAACUGCCACAAAAUAGGUAAGUGGCAGCAUUUUGCCAGCCUCAGUUAUAUCUUUGUACUGCACAUACCUCUGCUAUAGUGGACUUGCUAGUGAACCAAGGGAAUAUGCUUGCAAUGGUCUUCACAAGCAUUCUAAAGCGGUCAGCACUGGCACACUCACUGUUGGGCUGCUUACAACUGUGCUAUCUGUUGUCUAUUCUGCUGUUCGUGCGGGAUCUUCUACAACUUUGCUCUCUCCCCCAAGUUCACCUCGAGCAGGUCAGUGUAAUUAUUGAUGAACCCAUUGGGCAUUUGGAAGUGCAUUUCGUCUUCAUGCUUUAUGAAGUAAAUGAGUUUUUGAAGUUUUCUUCGGGUAAAAAAAGUAUGCUGAUUCCAAGUGUUGAUU